RNAcentral lists this long non-coding RNA (272 nucleotides) under Rattus norvegicus (Norway rat). RNAcentral's name for it is "long non-coding RNA NONRATT005709". Lineage: Eukaryota; Metazoa; Chordata; Mammalia; Rodentia; Muridae. The record is from RNAcentral.
GCUACAUCAGGCUGCAGUGGCAAAGAGCCAUCCUCUAUAAGUGGCUCAAAGUACCUCCUGCCAUCAACCAGUUCCUCCAGGCCCUGGACAGGAAAACAGCGGCUCAGCUGCUUUGCCCACAAGUACAGGCCAGAGACAAAGCAGGAGAAGAAGCAAAGGCUGCUGGCCCCCGCUGAGAAGAAAGCUGCUGGCAAAGGGGACGUCCCAACUAAGAGACCCCCUGUCCUCCGAGCAGGGGUCAAUACAGUUACCACCUUGGUGGAGAACAAGAA